GCCUAACACAUGCAAGUCGAGCGAGGAGGAUUCCUUCGGGGUGGAUCCUAGCGGCGGACGGGUGAGUAACAACGUGGGCAACCUGCCUCAUAGAGAGGAAUAGCCUUCCGAAAGGGAGAUUAAUACCUCAUAACAUUGCAGUUUCGCAUGGAACAGCAAUUAAAGGAGUAAUCCGCUAUGAGAGUGGGCCCCGCGGCGCAUUAGCUAGUUGGUGAGGUAAUGGCUCACCAAGGCGACGAUGCGUAGCCGACCUGAGAGGGUGAUCGGCCACAUUGGGACUGAGACACGGCCCAGACUCCUACGGGAGGCAGCAGUGGGGAAUAUUGCACAAUGGGGGAAACCCUGAUGCCAGCAACGCCGCGUGAGUGAUGACGGCCUUCGGGUUGUAAAGCUCUGUCUUCAGGGACGAUAAUGACGGUACCUGAGGAGGAAGCCACGGCUAACUACGUGCCAGCCGCCGC
RNAcentral lists this ribosomal RNA (461 nucleotides) under uncultured bacterium. RNAcentral describes it as "bacterial SSU rRNA". It matches the Rfam family "Bacterial small subunit ribosomal RNA", at positions 46 to 518 of the family's 1533-position model. The record is from RNAcentral.